Molecule: ribosomal RNA, 1522 nt
Filed under: Escherichia coli
Lineage: Bacteria; Pseudomonadati; Pseudomonadota; Gammaproteobacteria; Enterobacterales; Enterobacteriaceae
Also listed under: 3 other names
Description: bacterial SSU rRNA
Rfam family: Bacterial small subunit ribosomal RNA
Source: RNAcentral
AGAGUUUGAUCAUGGCUCAGAUUGAACGCUGGCGGCAGGCCUAACACAUGCAAGUCGAACGGUAACAGGAAGCAGCUUGCUGCUUUGCUGACGAGUGGCGGACGGGUGAGUAAUGUCUGGGAAACUGCCCGAUGGAGGGGGAUAACUACUGGAAACGGUAGCUAAUACCGCAUAACGUCGCAAGACCAAAGAGGGGGACCUUAGGGCCUCUUGCCAUCGGAUGUGCCCAGAUGGGAUUAGCUAGUAGGUGGGGUAAUGGCUCACCUAGGCGACGAUCCCUAGCUGGUCUGAGAGGAUGACCAGCCACACUGGAACUGAGACACGGUCCAGACUCCUACGGGAGGCAGCAGUGGGGAAUAUUGCACAAUGGGCGCAAGCCUGAUGCAGCCAUGCCGCGUGUAUGAAGAAGGCCUUCGGGUUGUAAAGUACUUUCAGCGGGGAGGAAGGGAGUAAAGUUAAUACCUUUGCUCAUUGACGUUACCCGCAGAAGAAGCACCGGCUAACUCCGUGCCAGCAGCCGCGGUAAUACGGAGGGUGCAAGCGUUAAUCGGAAUUACUGGGCGUAAAGCGCACGCAGGCGGUUUGUUAAGUCAGAUGUGAAAUCCCCGGGCUCAACCUGGGAACUGCAUCUGAUACUGGCAAGCUUGAGUCUCGUAGAGGGGGGUAGAAUUCCAGGUGUAGCGGUGAAAUGCGUAGAGAUCUGGAGGAAUACCGGUGGCGAAGGCGGCCCCCUGGACGAAGACUGACGCUCAGGUGCGAAAGCGUGGGGAGCAAACAGGAUUAGAUACCCUGGUAGUCCACGCCGUAAACGAUGUCGACUUGGAGGUUGUGCCCUUGAGGCGUGGCUUCCGGAGCUAACGCGUUAAGUCGACCGCCUGGGGAGUACGGCCGCAAGGUUAAAACUCAAAUGAAUUGACGGGGGCCCGCACAAGCGGUGGAGCAUGUGGUUUAAUUCGAUGCAACGCGAAGAACCUUACCUGGUCUUGACAUCCACGGAAGUUUUCAGAGAUGAGAAUGUGCCUUCGGGAACCGUGAGACAGGUGCUGCAUGGCUGUCGUCAGCUCGUGUUGUGAAAUGUUGGGUUAAGUCCCGCAACGAGCGCAACCCUUAUCCUUUGUUGCCAGCGGUCCGGCCGGGAACUCAAAGGAGACUGCCAGUGAUAAACUGGAGGAAGGUGGGGAUGACGUCAAGUCAUCAUGGCCCUUACGACCAGGGCUACACACGUGCUACAAUGGCGCAUACAAAGAGAAGCGACCUCGCGAGAGCAAGCGGACCUCAUAAAGUGCGUCGUAGUCCGGAUUGGAGUCUGCAACUCGACUCCAUGAAGUCGGAAUCGCUAGUAAUCGUGGAUCAGAAUGCCACGGUGAAUACGUUCCCGGGCCUUGUACACACCGCCCGUCACACCAUGGGAGUGGGUUGCAAAAGAAGUAGGUAGCUUAACCUUCGGGAGGGCGCUUACCACUUUGUGAUUCAUGACUGGGGUGAAGUCGUAACAAGGUAACCGUAGGGGAACCUGCGGUUG